GCUGGCGGCACGCCUAACACAUGCAAGUCGAACGAAGUAGCAAUACUUAGUGGCAGACGGGUGAGUAACAUGUAGGUAUCUGCCCUUUGGCCUGGAAUAACACGAGGAAACUUGUGCUAAUACCGGAUAAGUCUUUACGGAGAAAGCUUUAUGCACCAUUGGAUGAGCCUGCACUUGAUUAGUUUGUUGGUGGGGUAAUGGCCUACCAAGACUGUGAUCAAUAGCUGAUUUGAGAGGAUGAUCAGCCACAUUGGGACUGAGACACGGCCCAAACUCCUACGGGAGGCAGCAGUGGGGAAUCUUGCACAAUGGAGGAAACUCUGAUGCAGCGAUGCCGCGUGAGUGAAGAAGGCCCUUGGGUUGUAAAGCUCUUUCGUCGGGGAAGAAAAUGACUGUACCCGAAUAAGAAGGUCCGGCUAACUUCGUGCCAGCAGCCGCGGUAAUACGAAGGGACCUAGCGUAGUUCGGAAUUACUGGGCUUAAAGAGUUCGUAGGUGGUUGAAAAAGUUGGUGGUGAAAUCCCAGGGCUUAACUCUGGAACUGCCAUCAAAACUUUUCAGCUAGAGUAUGAUAGAGGAAAGCAGAAUUUCUAGUGUAGAGGUGAAAUUCGUAGAUAUUAGAAAGAAUACCAAUUGCGAAGGCAGCUUUCUGGAUCAUUACUGACACUGAGGAACGAAAGCAUGGGUAGCGAAGAGGAUUAGAUACCCUCGUAGUCCAUGCCGUAAACGAUGUGUGUUAGACGUUGGAAAUUUAUUUUCAGUGUCGCAGCGAAAGCAAUAAACACACCGCC
This 790-nucleotide ribosomal RNA is filed under the name uncultured Pelagibacteraceae bacterium. RNAcentral describes it as "bacterial SSU rRNA". It matches the Rfam family "Bacterial small subunit ribosomal RNA", at positions 35 to 873 of the family's 1533-position model. The record is from RNAcentral. Lineage: Bacteria; Pseudomonadati; Pseudomonadota; Alphaproteobacteria; Candidatus Pelagibacterales; Candidatus Pelagibacteraceae.